UUGGGAUCAUUACUCCUCACAUUUUCUAAGUUGAUUCUUCGGUUCCCUCGCCAUUCAAUGCAUCUCUCUCACCAAAAUCUCAACCCCAUCCCAACAAACCCUAGAAUCUACACGACAAAACACCCAAAUCUCAACCCCAUCACCAAAAUCUCUACCCAAUCGCCCAAACCAUACAAAUCUGUAAACAUUAGUCGUCUCCUCCACUAUCUCAACCUCGUCUGCACCAAAAAUCGAGUUUUCCAUAAAAACUGAUUCCUCUACCACAAAACCUUAGGCAGAAUUCAAAACUUGACGAAGAAGGAUAACAAAAAAGCUACUACAACCAUGGUCAACACUAGAGCCUCUGGAUCCGCACCUCGUGACGGAAAAGUGUAUGAGAGAACAUCCGCGAAGACAAAGCUACAAAAGAUCCCAAAGGCUCCGAGAGAUGGAAGUCAACAUGGGUGAGAGAAGGCCAUUGGAAUUGUGGACUAUCGACUAGAUAUAAGGGUGCGCUUAAGUAUUUAAGAGCUAAAAAGUAUUGUGUUGAAGUUGGCCGAAAAUAAUCACAGCUCCCUUUCCAAUAAAACAUCGACAUCCAAACAUUAUGCAACGGACAACAAGAAAAUGAUGAUCGACGUUGAAAAGAUGAUAGCAAGCUACAGAGCUUCUGUAGUGGCCAUGUCAUAAAUUUUGGAUUUAAAGUAUGUUUUAUUGAUAUAAUUAUGUGUGUAUUUAAUA
Molecule: long non-coding RNA, 720 nt
Organism: Salvia splendens (bonfire salvia)
Lineage: Eukaryota; Viridiplantae; Streptophyta; Magnoliopsida; Lamiales; Lamiaceae
Exons: 3
Source: RefSeq, a predicted model, not a curated record